AGGGCCGCGGCCGAGGACCCCAAGGCCCAGCCGCCCCCGCACGUCCUCGUCACUUACCUCAACGGUGCCGAGGAGGCCUUCGUCGCCGCCGACGGCGCCACUGCGCAGGGCAUGCGCGACCAGAUCCUCGCCUGCGGCCGCCUCCUCGAGACCGAGCAGCUCUUCCGCGAGGCCGGGGAGAAGUGGCCCGUCGUCAUCCCCGAGGAGGAGCUCGGCAUGCCAUUCCCCAGUAUCAAGGUGCCUCUUCUACUCUGUUCCGUUAACUUCACUUUCUGUCGAACAUCUUGCGUGCGUGCCUUGGCGUAUCUCACUGCCUUGCGCUGA
This 324-nucleotide ribosomal RNA is filed under the name Triticum aestivum (bread wheat). RNAcentral describes it as "partial small subunit ribosomal RNA". The record is from RNAcentral. Lineage: Eukaryota; Viridiplantae; Streptophyta; Magnoliopsida; Poales; Poaceae.